UUGUUCUCAGGGCGGAGUGUAAGUCUCCACCGGUGGUAAUUUAAUCAGAUUAAUGAUUAAUAAGUCCACGAGCAUAGUUUUAUGUUGAUUUGGUGAAAAUCCAAAACCGACAGUUACAGUCUGGAUGGAAGAGAAUG
Molecule: non-coding RNA, 137 nt
Filed under: uncultured Methanosphaera sp.
Lineage: Archaea; Methanobacteriati; Methanobacteriota; Methanobacteria; Methanobacteriales; Methanobacteriaceae
Description: FMN riboswitch (RFN element)
Rfam family: FMN riboswitch aptamer (RFN element)
About the family: The RFN element is a highly conserved domain that is found frequently in the 5'-untranslated regions of prokaryotic mRNAs that encode for flavin mononucleotide (FMN) biosynthesis and transport proteins. This element is a metabolite-dependent riboswitch that directly binds FMN in the absence of proteins. In Bacillus subtilis, the riboswitch most likely controls gene expression by causing premature transcription termination within the 5' untranslated region of the ribDEAHT operon and precluding access to the ribosome-binding site of ypaA mRNA.
Source: RNAcentral